Long non-coding RNA from Corapipo altera (White-ruffed manakin), 1702 nucleotides. RefSeq lists it as uncharacterized. The transcript has 9 exons. The record is from RefSeq and is a predicted model, not a curated record. NCBI's taxonomy places the organism in Eukaryota, Metazoa, Chordata, Aves, Passeriformes, Pipridae.
GGUCACCGGCUCCGGGCGCCGCGAGGCCCGGGAGAACGCCCCGCGCUGGCGGCAGGUGCGCUGUGCCCCUCGUGCAGCCCAGGCUUCCCCUCUGCCUCCCGCUGCCCCCGGCAUCCCUCCUGUCCCGGGAGGGCGGCGGGAGGCAGAGCUCCUCUCCCGUGCCGCCCACUCCCAGUCCAGGACAGGCCGCGCUCCCGCCGGCUCCUCCGUUGCCGUUCCGGGAGAAGUGAUGGGACAGGCUCCGCGUUGCAGGGUCCUGAAAAAAACGGGCACCUGCCAAACUGCGGACCAGAUGUGACUGAGGAGACUCACUGCAGUAUCUCAUAACUGGAAGUCAGAAGGGCAAGGCUGCUUCUGAACAGCAGAGCUGGGGAGAAUGGAAGAAACUCUGCCUUUAUACAGGCACAAAACCCAGUGGCUGUCUCUUGGCCAGUGUUCCUGAUUUUCCAGUAAGCUGUGUGCUGCACGGAGGUGUAGAACCCUAAUGGCUUGUUGUAUGCCAUUAAAAGAGCAAGUCAGGCCUCUGUGGGCUUUCAAAACCAAAUGAAUGAUGGUCUUGACCAGCACUGUGGUGUUGCUAAUGACCUCAUUGCUGACCACAGCUGCUGGCAGUCAGGCUCCCAUUGCCACUGCAUUGCUGAUAGAAACACCAAUUUUCUUUGAAUCUCAGAGGCAGAUGUGCAGAUGGGAGAGAAGCCGUGGUGCUGUGAGCAGAGUCCCAAGUUUUUAUCAGUGUUUUUGCAGAGUGGAACUGGAAGUUGCUGACGCACUCCAGGCAAUAACAUUGAGCACAGGGAAAAGUGCCUGCGUCAGUGGCACGGGGGGAGCAGGUUGUGGCACAUGAGGAAUGUGAACAGGAGUACGUUGCCAGGGCAACAGAGUGUAAGCAGGAGCACAGCACCUUGCAGAUCACAAAGGCAAAGCUGCAGAAAGAAAUUUCAGCGAGUUUCUCUCUCCCUUUUGCAAUAUAAGCAUUUACACCUGAGACAUCAGAGUCCAGGGAGUGAAGAGCAGCCUGGCUGCAGGGACAAGGGCAUGUGGCUCUGUUCAGAGUGAGCAGAAAAGCCAGGAAUGAAGGAGCAGCCUGUUGCUUUGGCAAUGCUUGACGAAAGAUCUCCCUUUCCCAUGGCUUCAGAGAGUUGGAGACAAGGUCACACUGGUCUGAGGAAAGCCAAAUAGCUUCUGGAAAUCCCAAAUCAGACUGACACUGCAAGAUCUGUCCAUCAUUCAAAUUUACAUGAAGUCACCUUCCACGUUGCUUUCACUGAUGUUUAGGAUUUUUUUUUCGUUUGGUAUUGGCUGGUUUCUGUGAAAUCCAACAGCUCUGCUCCUCUAAGCUCUAGCCAAGAAAAUCUCCACCGUUUUUGUCCUCUAUGCAGAACCUAAUUUCAUAGAAACUCUGAACAUUGAUUCAGAUAAAAUAUGUAGAUACAGAAUCUCCUUAAAGCAGUCUUCUAUGAAGUCUGCAGGAAGGCAGCUGACUGCAACUAGACUGGGCCACAGAAAGAAACCUGGAACAAGGUGCACUUACCAACUGCCAGACAGUGGACAAUAUUUCUAUUCUUUGUUGGCUUAGGAGACUGCAUUUUUGGCUCCUUAAAGCAAUUCUGGACAAGAAACUAUUUGCUGGAUCUUCCUGUACAAUUUUUAUUUUUUUUUUCUGUUUUAAUCAUAAUAAAUUUUAAAAUGUAGAAAGUCAAAA